GAUGAACGCUGGCGGCGUGCCUAAUACAUGCAAGUCGAGCGAACGGACGAGAAGCUUGCUUCUCUGAUGUUAGCGGCGGACGGGUGAGUAACACGUGGAUAACCUACCUAUAAGACUGGGAUAACUUCGGGAAACCGGAGCUAAUACCGGAUAAUAUUUUGAACCGCAUGGUUCAAAAGUGAAAGACGGUCUUGCUGUCACUUAUAGAUGGAUCCGCGCUGCAUUAGCUAGUUGGUAAGGUAACGGCUUACCAAGGCAACGAUGCAUAGCCGACCUGAGAGGGUGAUCGGCCACACUGGAACUGAGACACGGUCCAGACUCCUACGGGAGGCAGCAGUAGGGAAUCUUCCGCAAUGGGCGAAAGCCUGACGGAGCAACGCCGCGUGAGUGAUGAAGGUCUUCGGAUCGUAAAACUCUGUUAUUAGGGAAGAACAUAUGUGUAAGUAACUGUGCACAUCUUGACGGUACCUAAUCAGAAAGCCACGGCUAACUACGUGCCAGCAGCCGCGGUAAUACGUAGGUGGCAAGCGUUAUCCGGAAUUAUUGGGCGUAAAGCGCGCGUAGGCGGUUUUUUAAGUCUGAUGUGAAAGCCCACGGCUCAACCGUGGAGGGUCAUUGGAAACUGGAAAACUUGAGUGCAGAAGAGGAAAGUGGAAUUCCAUGUGUAGCGGUGAAAUGCGCAGAGAUAUGGAGGAACACCAGUGGCGAAGGCGACUUUCUGGUCUGUAACUGACGCUGAUGUGCGAAAGCGUGGGGAUCAAACAGGAUUAGAUACCCUGGUAGUCCACGCCGUAAACGAUGAGUGCUAAGUGUUAGGGGGUUUCCUCCCCUUAGUGCUGCAGCUAACGCAUUAAGCACUCCGCCUGGGGAGUACGACCGCAAGGUUGAAACUCAAAGGAAUUGACGGGGACCCGCACAAGCGGUGGAGCAUGUGGUUUAAUUCGAAGCAACGCGAAGAACCUUACCAAAUCUUGACAUCCUUUGACAACUCUAGAGAUAGAGCCUUCCCCUUCGGGGGACAAAGUGACAGGUGGUGCAUGGUUGUCGUCAGCUCGUGUCGUGAGAUGUUGGGUUAAGUCCCGCAACGAGCGCAACCCUUAAGCUUAGUUGCCAUCAUUAAGUUGGGCACUCUAAGUUGACUGCCGGUGACAAACCGGAGGAAGGUGGGGAUGACGUCAAAUCAUCAUGCCCCUUAUGAUUUGGGCUACACACGUGCUACAAUGGACAAUACAAAGGGCAGCGAAACCGCGAGGUCAAGCAAAUCCCAUAAAGUUGUUCUCAGUUCGGAUUGUAGUCUGCAACUCGACUACAUGAAGCUGGAAUCGCUAGUAAUCGUAGAUCAGCAUGCUACGGUGAAUACGUUCCCGGGUCU
This 1372-nucleotide ribosomal RNA is filed under the name uncultured bacterium. Its description in RNAcentral is "bacterial SSU rRNA". It matches the Rfam family "Bacterial small subunit ribosomal RNA", at positions 28 to 1381 of the family's 1533-position model. The record is from RNAcentral.